UACGUAGGGAGCAAGCGUUGUCCGGAUUUAUUGGGCGUAAAGAGCUCGUAGGCGGCUUAGAAAGUCAGAUGUGAAAACUCCAGGCUCAACCUGGAGACGCCAUUUGAUACUUCUAUGGCUUGAGUUCGGUAGGGGACCAUGGAAUUCCUGGUGUAGCGGUGAAAUGCGCAGAUAUCAGGAGGAACACCGAUGGCGAAGGCAGUGGUCUGGGCCGAUACUGACGCUGAGGAGCGAAAGCGUGGGGAGCGAACAGG
This 254-nucleotide ribosomal RNA is filed under the name uncultured bacterium. Its description in RNAcentral is "partial 16S ribosomal RNA". It matches the Rfam family "Bacterial small subunit ribosomal RNA", at positions 524 to 776 of the family's 1533-position model. The record is from RNAcentral.